GCAUAUCAAUAAGCGGAGGAAAAGAAACCAACAGGGAUUGCCCCAGUAACGGCGAGUGAAGCGGCAAGAGCUCAAAUUUGAAAGCUGGCUCCUUCGGGGUCCGCAUUGUAAUUUGCAGAGGAUGCUUCGGGAGCGGUCCCCAUCUAAGUGCCCUGGAACGGGCCGUCAUAGAGGGUGAGAAUCCCGUCUGGGAUGGGGUGCCCGCGCCCGUGUGAAGCUCCUUCGACGAGUCGAGUUGUUUGGGAAUGCAGCUCUAAUUGGGUGGUAAAUUUCAUCUAAAGCUAAAUAUUGGCCGGAGACCGAUAGCGCACAAGUAGAGUGAUCGAAAGAUGAAAAGCACUUUGAAAAGAGAGUUAAACAGCACGUGAAAUUGUUGAAAGGGAAGCGCUUGCGAUCAGACUCGCCCGCGGGGUUCAGCCGGCAUUCGUGCCGGUGUACUUCCCCGUGGGCGGGCCAGCGUCGGUUUGGGCGGCCGGUCAAAGGCCCCUGGAAUGUAACGCCUCUCGGGGCGUCUUAUAGCCAGGGGUGCCAUGCGGCCUGCCCGGACCGAGGAACGCGCUUCGGCUCGGACGCUGG
Molecule: ribosomal RNA, 576 nt
Filed under: Penicillium sp. C53
Lineage: Eukaryota; Fungi; Ascomycota; Eurotiomycetes; Eurotiales; Aspergillaceae
Description: eukaryotic LSU rRNA
Rfam family: Eukaryotic large subunit ribosomal RNA
Source: RNAcentral